This is a long non-coding RNA of Larimichthys crocea (large yellow croaker), 599 nucleotides long. RefSeq lists it as uncharacterized. The record is from RefSeq and is a predicted model, not a curated record. NCBI's taxonomy places the organism in Eukaryota, Metazoa, Chordata, Actinopteri, Sciaenidae. The transcript is spliced from 5 exons.
UAAGAGUCUCAUUUCCACUGUUUCUACUGGAACUCGCUUGACAGUACCGACGCGCUUCCACCAUCUCUCUGCAGAAGGGUGUUAAGAGAUUCAUUUUCACGACACAGUCACCAUCUUCUAAACACAUCAUGUAUGAAUUUGGAGACAUAAUUGCGUUUCCGAGGGGUCGUGGCUCCAUUACCGCAUACAAGCACUAUGCUAUUUAUGUGGGCCCACAGAGCGGUGUAAACAUCGGCCAGGGUAAUAAUGACAUCUUUCACCACACAGGUAAAAAGUGUGAAUUUGGUAAACUUCAAGACAUGAGAGGAGGGUUACGGGAGAGAGUGGACAAUUACCUGGAGAAGCCUGGGAUGCUACCAAAGGAAGACUUGGAGUGGGUAGCAAAACUAACAAGAAAAGAAAAUAUAAUCAGGCGAAUCAAUGAAUUAAAAAAAAAAGAAAACUGGGGAAAGUAUGCUGUCUCUUCCAACAACUGUGAACACCUUGCUACCUAUGUGCGCUAUGGGGAGAGAUUGUCAAUUCAGGAUGGUACAUUUGUUGGCUCCCUUCAACAACGACUUGAGAACAAGCAAAACACUCAGGCCUUAGCAAAAUUAGAA